Molecule: ribosomal RNA, 253 nt
Filed under: uncultured bacterium
Lineage: Bacteria
Description: partial 16S ribosomal RNA
Rfam family: Bacterial small subunit ribosomal RNA
Source: RNAcentral
UACGUAGGGUCCGAGCGUUGUCCGGAAUUACUGGGCGUAACGCGCUCGUAGGUGGUUUGUCGCGUUGUUCGUGAAAACUCACAGCUCAACUGUGGGCGUGCGGGCGAUACGGGCAGACUAGAGUACUGCAGGGGAGACUGGAAUUCCUGGUGUAGCGGUGGAAUGCGCAGAUAUCAGGAGGAACACCGGUGGCGAAGGCGGGGCUCUGGGCAGUAACUGACGCUGAGGAGCGAAAGCGUGGGGAGCGAACAGG